Non-coding RNA from Micropterus dolomieu (smallmouth bass), 446 nucleotides. Lineage: Eukaryota; Metazoa; Chordata; Actinopteri; Centrarchiformes; Centrarchidae. The record is from the annotation of a RefSeq genome assembly.
UCUAAUCCACCAACUUAGUGUUGAUGAAGACUAAACAGAGAGAUCACAGCCUUCUUUAUACUUGCUGGAGCUCACAGUUCCUCAACACUGCAGAUAUGACGCCUCUGUUCAUCUCAGUGUUGCUGGCUGCUGUGUGCCUUGAAUGCAGAGCACAAAAAGACAACGUGCUGCAACCAGAAGGAGACGUGACUGCUGCUGAAGGAGAGCCAGUAACACUUGGCUGUCUAUAUAACAGCAGUUCAACAAAUCAUAAUCUCUUCUGGUACAAACAGGAUGGAAACAACAGCCCUGAAUUCAUACUGAGCCGCUUUAAGAUCGGUGAGGGGAAAACAGCAGACGAGUACAAGGAGAGAUUUUCAUCAACACUGGAUUCCACCUCUAGAUCAGUUCCUCUGAAGAUCCAGAAGCUUCAGCUGACUGACUCUGCUGUGUACUACUGUGCUCUG